Molecule: ribosomal RNA, 836 nt
Filed under: Salmonella enterica
Lineage: Bacteria; Pseudomonadati; Pseudomonadota; Gammaproteobacteria; Enterobacterales; Enterobacteriaceae
Description: partial 23S ribosomal RNA
Rfam family: Bacterial large subunit ribosomal RNA
Source: RNAcentral
AGACCCGAAACCCGGUGAUCUAGCCAUGGGCAGGUUGAAGGUUGGGUAACACUAACUGGAGGACCGAACCGACUAAUGUUGAAAAAUUAGCGGAUGACCUGUGGCUGGGGGUGAAAGGCCAAUCAAACCGGGAGAUAGCUGGUUCUCCCCGAAAGCUAUUUAGGUAGCGCCUCGUGAAUUCAUCUCCGGGGGUAGAGCACUGUUUCGGCUAGGGGGCCAUCCCGGCUUACCAACCCGAUGCAAACUGCGAAUACCGGAGAAUGUUAUCACGGGAGACACACGGCGGGUGCUAACGUCCGUCGUGAAGAGGGAAACAACCCAGACCGCCAGCUAAGGUCCCAAAGUCAUGGUUAAGUGGGAAACGAUGUGGGAAGGCCCAGACAGCCAGGAUGUUGGCUUAGAAGCAGCCAUCAUUUAAAGAAAGCGUAAUAGCUCACUGGUCGAGUCGGCCUGCGCGGAAGAUGUAACGGGGCUAAACCAUGCACCGAAGCUGCGGCAGCGAACGUAUCACUUAAAGCGAUUCAGCGGGUUACGAUUGACGGAGCGAAGCGACGUCAAAGCGUAUACAAAGUCGAGUCGGUUUAAGGAUACGUUCGUUGGGUAGGGGAGCGUUCUGUAAGCCUGUGAAGGUGUGUCGUGAGGCAUGCUGGAGGUAUCAGAAGUGCGAAUGCUGACAUAAGUAACGAUAAAGCGGGUGAAAAGCCCGCUCGCCGGAAGACCAAGGGUUCCUGUCCAACGUUAAUCGGGGCAGGGUGAGUCGACCCCUAAGGCGAGGCCGAAAGGCGUAGUCGAUGGGAAACGGGUUAAUAUUCCCGUACUUGGUGUUACUGCGAAGG